RNAcentral lists this small nuclear RNA (103 nucleotides) under Vombatus ursinus (common wombat). The record is from RNAcentral. Lineage: Eukaryota; Metazoa; Chordata; Mammalia; Diprotodontia; Vombatidae.
UUGCUUUGGCAGCAUAUAUACUAAAAUUGGAAUGAUACAAAGAAGAUUAGCAUGGCCCCUGUGCAAGGAUGGCAUGCAAAUUCAUGACACGUUCCAUAGUAAG